UACGUAGAGUGCGAGCGUUGUCCGGAAUUAUUGGGCGUAAAGAGCUCGUAGGCGGCUCAGUAAGUCAGGUGUGAAAACUCCAGGCUCAACCUGGAGACGCCACCCGAUACUGCUGUGACUAGAGUCCGGUAGGGGAGCGUGGAAUUCCUGGUGUAGCGGUGAAAUGCGCAGAUAUCAGGAGGAACACCAGCGGCGAAGGCGGCGCUCUGGGCCGGAACUGACGCUGAGGAGCGAAAGCGUGGGUAGCAAACAGG
Molecule: ribosomal RNA, 254 nt
Filed under: uncultured bacterium
Lineage: Bacteria
Description: partial 16S ribosomal RNA
Rfam family: Bacterial small subunit ribosomal RNA
Source: RNAcentral